RNAcentral lists this long non-coding RNA (1271 nucleotides) under Fukomys damarensis (Damara mole-rat). Its description in RNAcentral is "lncRNA (ENSFDAG00000022361.1)". Lineage: Eukaryota; Metazoa; Chordata; Mammalia; Rodentia; Bathyergidae. The record is from RNAcentral.
GAGGGACCUAUGCACACACCCUAGGACAGCAAUGGCAGACCUUUUAGAGACUUCAGCGGUAACGGAAGCCUGCUGUGGCACUUGUGCCAUACGUCACCACCAUUGCUCUAGGAAGUGUCCUUGCCGGCUGGCUUUCAGGUGCUCCUGUGCCAUGUCCCUCAUCCAGCCCCAAGAAUAGCAGCCGCCAUGGUGGGUGGCCCCCCAGAGCCAACUCGUGCCCUUCACUUGAGCCUAUGGAAGGUGGCAGCCAACUGGAACCUGAUCCUCCCCAGCUCUGUGUCGUUGGCGCCUUACUCUGAGCGCAGGAGCCUGGGUGCAGGAUGUUCAGGUUUGAGGAGGGGUCCGGGCCACAGUCCUAGCCUUUGCCUUCUCUUCCCUCCUCCUUCCUGCCUCCCAGCUGGGGUGGGCUCUCUGGGGUUAGGGGUCCAUUCCUGGAGUAGGGAUGGGUGGCUCAGGGGAUAGGAUUUAAACAUUUUAGAGCAUUCUUUAUUGGGGGCCCUUUGAGGCCCUGUCCAUGAAUAAAUGUGGAAAAAGUUGUUUCAGGAGUUUAACAAGCAUGUCAGGAUUGUUUUUCUGUAUAGCCCAAACUAUCUAUAUCCACAGCUUACUGUAAAAUAUAGGUACCAAAAGCCAGGCCCUUUUAUACUUGUGAAUAUUUCUGUAUCACCUCAUGACAACCUCAUAAAUAUUGUUGACAGAUGGAGCCAUGUUUUGGAAAAAAGCCUUUCCAGACACACACAGUGUGGGAUGGGGUGGCUGUUGCUCAGGUGCUGCACCUGGCUGUGGAACUCGGUAAGCAUGGUUGGAGACUAAGGAAAGAGGGCCAGGCUGUGCCUGUGAUCAGUCAUGGCAGGUGGGAGGUCCCGAGUAUGCUCUAGAGACAUGGGGGUCAAGGUUCACCUGGGGGACAGGCCCUGGGCUGUCACUGUCUUCAUCUCGCAGAGAGGAAGAGGGACCGGAAGGGUUUGGGUGGCAGACCCAGGUUUGAGACACUGCUGGACAGUGCUCUGCAUCGCUGGCUCACGACAAGUGGAGCCCAAACAGGGACCUGAAAUUGAAGCGGCGAGCAGUGAGCAAUCAGAGAAGCCUGCUGUCAAAAAGGACUUGGCUGAGUCGAAACAAGGAGGACACCACUGUCUGGAAUGCCAGUGGGGAAAAUCCUCGGAGAAGCAGGUACCAAUGGGGCACAUAGGAUCCAAGAUGAAAUUUAGCACAGCAAUUCAGUCUUUAUUCAGGGAGAAAGGAAUUAAGGCAAAGAAAAAAACAAUCAU